GAGAGUUUGAUCCUGGCUCAGGAUGAACGCUGGCGGCGUGCCUAAUACAUGCAAGUCGAGCGAACGGACGAGAAGCUUGCUUCUCUGAUGUUAGCGGCGGACGGGUGAGUAACACGUGGAUAACCUACCUAUAAGACUGGGAUAACUUCGGGAAACCGGAGCUAAUACCGGAUGAUAUUUUGAACCGCAUGGUUCAAAAGUGAAAGACGGUCUUGCUGUCACUUAUAGAUGGAUCCGCGCUGCAUUAGCUAGUUGGUAAGGUAACGGCUUACCAAGGCAACGAUGCAUAGCCGACCUGAGAGGGUGAUCGGCCACACUGGAACUGAGACACGGUCCAGACUCCUACGGGAGGCAGCAGUAGGGAAUCUUCCGCAAUGGGCGAAAGCCUGACGGAGCAACGCCGCGUGAGUGAUGAAGGUCUUCGGAUCGUAAAACUCUGUUAUUAGGGAAGAACAUAUGUGUAAGUAACUGUGCACAUCUUGACGGUACCUAAUCAGAAAGCCACGGCUAACUACGUGCCAGCAGCCGCGGUAAUACGUAGGUGGCAAGCGUUAUCCGGAAUUAUUGGGCGUAAAGCGCGCGUAGGCGGUUUUUUAAGUCUGAUGUGAAAGCCCACGGCUCAACCGUGGAGGGUCAUUGGAAACUGGAAAACUUGAGUGCAGAAGAGGAAAGUGGAAUUCCAUGUGUAGCGGUGAAAUGCGCAGAGAUAUGGAGGAACACCAGUGGCGAAGGCGACUUUCUGGUCUGUAACUGACGCUGAUGUGCGAAAGCGUGGGGAUCAAACAGGAUUAGAUACCCUGGUAGUCCACGCCGUAAACGAUGAGUGCUAAGUGUUAGGGGGUUUCCGCCCCUUAGUGCUGCAGCUAACGCAUUAAGCACUCCGCCUGGGGAGUACGACCGCAAGGUUGAAACUCAAAGGAAUUGACGGGGACCCGCACAAGCGGUGGAGCAUGUGGUUUAAUUCGAAGCAACGCGAAGAACCUUACCAAAUCUUGACAUCCUUUGACAACUCUAGAGAUAGAGCCUUCCCCUUCGGGGGACAAAGUGACAGGUGGUGCAUGGUUGUCGUCAGCUCGUGUCGUGAGAUGUUGGGUUAAGUCCCGCAACGAGCGCAACCCUUAAGCUUAGUUGCCAUCAUUAAGUUGGGCACUCUAAGUUGACUGCCGGUGACAAACCGGAGGAAGGUGGGGAUGACGUCAAAUCAUCAUGCCCCUUAUGAUUUGGGCUACACACGUGCUACAAUGGACAAUACAAAGGGCAGCGAAACCGCGAGGUCAAGCAAAUCCCAUAAAGUUGUUCUCAGUUCGGAUUGUAGUCUGCAACUCGACUACAUGAAGCUGGAAUCGCUAGUAAUCGUAGAUCAGCAUGCUACGGUGAAUACGUUCCCGGGUCUUGUACACACCGCCCGUCACACCACGAGAGUUUGUAACACCCGAAGCCGGUGGAGUAACCUUUUAGGAGCUAGCCGUCGAAGGUGGGACAAAUGAUUGGGGUGAAGUCGUAACAAGGUAGCCGUAG
This 1518-nucleotide ribosomal RNA is filed under the name Staphylococcus aureus. Its description in RNAcentral is "partial 16S ribosomal RNA". It matches the Rfam family "Bacterial small subunit ribosomal RNA". Lineage: Bacteria; Bacillati; Bacillota; Bacilli; Caryophanales; Staphylococcaceae. The record is from RNAcentral.